GGUAUCUUUUAUGCUAUUGAGCCUCGUCUUGUGCUUCUGUGGUGUUUUUAGUGUUAUCUUGUUGUACAGCACUUUUAAAUUGUGAUAUGUAAAGUGGAUUGGAUAAAUGCAGCGCUGUGAUCUUCAGUAAUGGCAUUUGUGUGGGGGGAACUACUUGACAAGUGUGAUACUUGUACUAGUGUAUGCUUAAAUUGAAGAUUUCCCUGUAAUGAAAUGGAAUCAUUCUAGCUCCUGCCAAGGCUAAACUCUCCUUGGUUUGAAGCCUGCACUUGGGAGUAAAACCAAAUUUUAAUCUCGAAUUUUCUCUCCAUGACAAAUCCGCGACCAAGCGACGGUAAAGGCAUGUUUCUUUCUCUAGUGAUCAUUUCCAUAAUGUUUGAAUAGGCCUACCUUCAAGACGGUGGACUUCUACAGGAAGCACCAGGACUCCAUGACCCCAGCCGGUCUGGGCUUCUUCCAGAGCCAGUGGGACGAGUCGGUCACCAACACCUUCCACAACAUGCUUGACAUGAAGGAGCCGGUGUUUGAGUUUGUGCGACCCCCCCCCCCCCCGUGUACCACCCGCCGCAGGUCAAGUUCCCCCACAGGCAGCCGCUCCGCUACCUGGACCGCUACCGUGAGGGCAAGGAGCACACCUACGGCAUCUACUGAGCCCCACAGACACACACAUCUGGAGCUACCGCUGGACGACAUGUUAAUAUAAUAAAUUGUUUUAUUUGUA
Molecule: long non-coding RNA, 721 nt
Organism: Gadus macrocephalus (Pacific cod)
Lineage: Eukaryota; Metazoa; Chordata; Actinopteri; Gadiformes; Gadidae
Exons: 2
Source: RefSeq, a predicted model, not a curated record